GAAAAAAUAAUCAAUGAAUUAAGGACAAGAAGGUUUCCAGUCAGAAAUCUGCAAGCAAUCUAAGAUUCUCAUCCUAAAGUCUACUACCUUCAAGUUUUCCACUGAGAGUAAAAUUAGCAUGUUCUCCAGUCACCAUUUGGUUCAUGACUCAAUGUCACUAUAAAAA
RNAcentral lists this long non-coding RNA (166 nucleotides) under Castor canadensis (American beaver). RNAcentral's name for it is "lncRNA (ENSCCNG00000019171.1)". The record is from RNAcentral. Lineage: Eukaryota; Metazoa; Chordata; Mammalia; Rodentia; Castoridae.